This 509-nucleotide ribosomal RNA is filed under the name uncultured Glomus. Its description in RNAcentral is "SSU rRNA". It matches the Rfam family "Eukaryotic small subunit ribosomal RNA", at positions 569 to 1078 of the family's 1831-position model. The record is from RNAcentral. Lineage: Eukaryota; Fungi; Glomeromycota; Glomeromycetes; Glomerales; Glomeraceae.
AGCAGCCGCGGUAAUUCCAGCUCCAAUAGCCUAUAUUAAAGUUGUUGCAGUUAAAAAGCUCGUAGUUGAAUUUCGGGAUCAAGGUGCCGGUCAUACCUUUGGUAUCUUCCUGACUUCAUUGAUUUCUCCCUUCUGAUGAACUGUGAUGUCAUUAAUUUGGUGUCAUGGAGAAUCAGGACUGUUACUUUGAAAAAAUUAGAGUGUUUAAAGCAGGCACACGCUUGAAUACAUUAGCAUGGAAUAAUGAAAUAGGACGUUUGACCCUAUUUUGUUGGUUUCUAGGAUCGACGUAAUGAUUAAUAGGGAUAGUUGGGGGCAUUAGUAUUCAAUUGUCAGAGGUGAAAUUCUUGGAUUUAUUGAAGACUAACUACUGCGAAAGCAUUUGCCAAGGAUGUUUUCAUUAAUCAAGAACGAAAGUUAGGGGAUCGAAGACGAUCAGAUACCGUCGUAGUCUUAACCAUAAACUAUGCCGACUAGGGAUCGGAUGAUGUUAAUUUUUUAAUGACUCA